GACGAACGCUGGCGGCGUGCCUAAUACAUGCAAGUUGAGCGCUGAAGGUUGGUACUUGUACCAACUGGAUGAGCAGCGAACGGGUGAGUAACGCGUGGGGAAUCUGCCUUUGAGCGGGGGCCAACAUUUGGAAACGAAUGCUAAUACCGCAUAAAAACUUUAAACACAAGUUUUAAGUUUGAAAGAUGCAAUUGCAUCACUCAAAGAUGAUCCCGCGUUGUAUUAGCUAGUUGGUGAGGUAAAGGCUCACCAAGGCGAUGAUACAUAGCCGACCUGAGAGGGUGAUCGGCCACAUUGGGACUGAGACACGGCCCAAACUCCUACGGGAGGCAGCAGUAGGGAAUCUUCGGCAAUGGACGAAAGUCUGACCGAGCAACGCCGCGUGAGUGAAGAAGGUUUUCGGAUCGUAAAACUCUGUUGGUAGAGAAGAACGUUGGUGAGAGUGGAAAGCUCAUCAAGUGACGGUAACUACCCAGAAAGGGACGGCUAACUACGUG
This 497-nucleotide ribosomal RNA is filed under the name uncultured bacterium. RNAcentral describes it as "partial 16S ribosomal RNA". It matches the Rfam family "Bacterial small subunit ribosomal RNA", at positions 28 to 507 of the family's 1533-position model. The record is from RNAcentral.